Dendroctonus ponderosae (mountain pine beetle) is the source of this 316-nucleotide long non-coding RNA. RefSeq lists it as uncharacterized. The transcript is spliced from 2 exons. Lineage: Eukaryota; Metazoa; Arthropoda; Insecta; Coleoptera; Curculionidae. The record is from RefSeq and is a predicted model, not a curated record.
UACUUGACAAAAUGAGCGUGAAGCGUAUGUCCCAUGUAUCAGUUUAUAUGAUGAGACGAAAGUGUUUCUAUUGGUUGGGUGAUCUGCCAAUUCGUUCGUCGACGUACCAAGUUGUAAAUACGACGACCGUAUGAUUUUUAACCUCACAUUCAUUCAUGUUUAUAUAUUAGAUUUUAUGCUGAAUUUAUUGCAAACCAAGGAAAGUUAAAGGGACAAAGAUUUUGAGUUCCAGGCAGAUUUCAUCGACAAACAAAACAUCUUAUGGUUUCUGUGAUUCCUAUCGAAAAACAAACAUUAAAUGUACUACAUAUCAGUA